This 1524-nucleotide ribosomal RNA is filed under the name Staphylococcus aureus. RNAcentral describes it as "partial 16S ribosomal RNA". It matches the Rfam family "Bacterial small subunit ribosomal RNA". The record is from RNAcentral. Lineage: Bacteria; Bacillati; Bacillota; Bacilli; Caryophanales; Staphylococcaceae.
UUUAUGGAGAGUUUGAUCCUGGCUCAGGAUGAACGCUGGCGGCGUGCCUAAUACAUGCAAGUCGAGCGAACGGACGAGAAGCUUGCUUCUCUGAUGUUAGCGGCGGACGGGUGAGUAACACGUGGAUAACCUACCUAUAAGACUGGGAUAACUUCGGGAAACCGGAGCUAAUACCGGAUAAUAUUUUGAACCGCAUGGUUCAAAAGUGAAAGACGGUCUUGCUGUCACUUAUAGAUGGAUCCGCGCUGCAUUAGCUAGUUGGUAAGGUAACGGCUUACCAAGGCAACGAUGCAUAGCCGACCUGAGAGGGUGAUCGGCCACACUGGAACUGAGACACGGUCCAGACUCCUACGGGAGGCAGCAGUAGGGAAUCUUCCGCAAUGGGCGAAAGCCUGACGGAGCAACGCCGCGUGAGUGAUGAAGGUCUUCGGAUCGUAAAACUCUGUUAUUAGGGAAGAACAUAUGUGUAAGUAACUGUGCACAUCUUGACGGUACCUAAUCAGAAAGCCACGGCUAACUACGUGCCAGCAGCCGCGGUAAUACGUAGGUGGCAAGCGUUAUCCGGAAUUAUUGGGCGUAAAGCGCGCGUAGGCGGUUUUUUAAGUCUGAUGUGAAAGCCCACGGCUCAACCGUGGAGGGUCAUUGGAAACUGGAAAACUUGAGUGCAGAAGAGGAAAGUGGAAUUCCAUGUGUAGCGGUGAAAUGCGCAGAGAUAUGGAGGAACACCAGUGGCGAAGGCGACUUUCUGGUCUGUAACUGACGCUGAUGUGCGAAAGCGUGGGGAUCAAACAGGAUUAGAUACCCUGGUAGUCCACGCCGUAAACGAUGAGUGCUAAGUGUUAGGGGGUUUCCGCCCCUUAGUGCUGCAGCUAACGCAUUAAGCACUCCGCCUGGGGAGUACGACCGCAAGGUUGAAACUCAAAGGAAUUGACGGGGACCCGCACAAGCGGUGGAGCAUGUGGUUUAAUUCGAAGCAACGCGAAGAACCUUACCAAAUCUUGACAUCCUUUGACAACUCUAGAGAUAGAGCCUUCCCCUUCGGGGGACAAAGUGACAGGUGGUGCAUGGUUGUCGUCAGCUCGUGUCGUGAGAUGUUGGGUUAAGUCCCGCAACGAGCGCAACCCUUAAGCUUAGUUGCCAUCAUUAAGUUGGGCACUCUAAGUUGACUGCCGGUGACAAACCGGAGGAAGGUGGGGAUGACGUCAAAUCAUCAUGCCCCUUAUGAUUUGGGCUACACACGUGCUACAAUGGACAAUACAAAGGGCAGCGAAACCGCGAGGUCAAGCAAAUCCCAUAAAGUUGUUCUCAGUUCGGAUUGUAGUCUGCAACUCGACUACAUGAAGCUGGAAUCGCUAGUAAUCGUAGAUCAGCAUGCUACGGUGAAUACGUUCCCGGGUCUUGUACACACCGCCCGUCACACCACGAGAGUUUGUAACACCCGAAGCCGGUGGAGUAACCUUUUAGGAGCUAGCCGUCGAAGGUGGGACAAAUGAUUGGGGUGAAGUCGUAACAAGGUAGCCGUAU